Molecule: ribosomal RNA, 253 nt
Filed under: uncultured bacterium
Lineage: Bacteria
Description: partial 16S ribosomal RNA
Rfam family: Bacterial small subunit ribosomal RNA
Source: RNAcentral
UACGGGGGGGGCAAGCGUUGUUCGGAAUUACUGGGCGUAAAGGGCUCGUAGGCGGCCAACUAAGUCAGACGUGAAAUCCCUCGGCUUAACCGGGGAACUGCGUCUGAUACUGGAUGGCUUGAGUUCGGGAGAGGGAUGCGGAAUUCCAGGUGUAGCGGUGAAAUGCGUAGAUAUCUGGAGGAACACCGGUGGCGAAGGCGGCGUCCUGGACCAAGACUGACGCUGAGGCGCGAAGGCGUGGGGAGCAAACAGG